UGGGGAAUAUUGGACAAUGGGGGAAACCCUGAUCCAGCGACGCCGCGUGUGUGAAGAAGGCCUGCGGGUUGUAAAGCACUUUCGGUGGGAACGAAAUAUGCCGGGCUAAUACCCCGGUAGGCUGACGUUACUCAAUGAAGAAGCACCGGCUAACUCUGUGCCAGCAGCCGCGGUAAUACAGAGGGUGCAAACGUUGCUCGGAAUUAUUGGGCGUAAAGCGCGUGUAGGCGGCUUGUUAAGUUGGUUGUGAAAACCCAUGGCUCAACCAUGGAAGUGCGUCCAAAACUGGCAAGCUAGAGUUCUGACGAGGAUGGCGGAAUUCCCAGUGUAGAGGUGAAAUUCGUAGAUAUUGGGAGGAACACCGGUGGCGAAGGCGGCCAUCUGGGAAGAUACUGACGCUGAGACGCGAAAGCGUGGGGAGCAAACAGGAUUAGAUACCCCAGUAGUCCCUGAGCGGGCUGGCAAGGCGC
This 470-nucleotide ribosomal RNA is filed under the name uncultured bacterium. RNAcentral describes it as "bacterial SSU rRNA". It matches the Rfam family "Bacterial small subunit ribosomal RNA", at positions 355 to 823 of the family's 1533-position model. The record is from RNAcentral.